UGAAUGAAUGAAUCUUUAUUUGCAUCAGCCAUCGGCCAUAGCAACAAAACAACAAUAGGAUAGACAAAGAAUAGAAAUAAAAAGUCAAUUGUAUAAAACACAUUAUAGGGUUUUGGAUCAAUAGUCAAAUAGUGGAAUAUUAUUCUCAUUGCCCCAGCUAAAAACCUUGCAUGCGGAUAUAAAUAAAGCAUAAAAUGGCCCCAAAAUAGGCUCAGCAC
Non-coding RNA from Podarcis lilfordi (Lilford's wall lizard), 218 nucleotides. The record is from the annotation of a GenBank genome assembly. NCBI's taxonomy places the organism in Eukaryota, Metazoa, Chordata, Lepidosauria, Squamata, Lacertidae.